This 439-nucleotide ribosomal RNA is filed under the name uncultured bacterium. RNAcentral's name for it is "partial 16S ribosomal RNA". It matches the Rfam family "Bacterial small subunit ribosomal RNA", at positions 338 to 795 of the family's 1533-position model. The record is from RNAcentral.
CCUACGGGUGGCUGCAGUGGGGGAUAUUGCACAAUGGGCGAAAGCCUGAUGCAGCGACGCCGCGUGAGGGAAGACGGUCUUCGGAUCGUAAACCUCUGUCAUUGGGGAAGAAAAUGCCGGUACCUAAACAGGAAUCUCCGGCUAACUACGUGCCAGCAGCCGCGGUAAUACUUGGGGACCACGCGUUCUCGGGAAUUACUGGCGGAAAGGGUAGCGGAGGUGGGAUGGCAGGUAGAAGGGAAAAUCCAUCGGCUCAACCGGUGGCUGCGUUCGAAACUGCCGUUCUUGAGUGGAGUAGAGGCAGGCGGAAUUCCUAGUGUAGCAGUGAAAUGCGUAGAUAUUAGGAGGAACACCAGUGGCGAAGGCGACCUUCUGGGCUUUAACUGACGCUGAGGCGCGAAAGCGUGGGGAGCAAACAGGAUUAGAUACCCGAGUAGUC